AAUAAGUGCAGCCAUAAGUUUCCGCGUCCAAAUUUGAUCGUCCGUCUUAUUUGAAAUUUUUUUAUAAUUAGCAUUUUUAUUGUCAUGAGAUGAUAAAGCAUGAAUAAGACUUUACUUGUGACUUAUGUUUUUAAAUUUUUUCAAAAGUUUUUUAAAUAAGACGAACGGUUAAAAUUGGACGUAGAAAACCAUGGCUGUACUUAUU
MicroRNA precursor from Oryza sativa Indica Group (long-grained rice), 205 nucleotides. It matches the Rfam family "MIR812 microRNA precursor family". Lineage: Eukaryota; Viridiplantae; Streptophyta; Magnoliopsida; Poales; Poaceae. The record is from Rfam.